RNAcentral lists this ribosomal RNA (397 nucleotides) under uncultured bacterium. RNAcentral describes it as "partial 16S ribosomal RNA". It matches the Rfam family "Bacterial small subunit ribosomal RNA", at positions 523 to 918 of the family's 1533-position model. The record is from RNAcentral.
AUACGUAGGGGGCGAGCGUUGUCCGGAAUGAUUGGGCGUAAAGGGCGCGUAGGCGGCCCGGUAAGUCUGGAGUGAAAGUCCUGUUUUUAAGAUGGGAAUUGCUUUGGAUACUGUCGGGCUUGAGUGCAGGAGAGGUAAGUGGAAUUCCCAGUGUAGCGGUGAAAUGCGUAGAGAUUGGGAGGAACACCAGUGGCGAAGGCGACUUACUGGACUGUAACUGACGCUGAGGCGCGAAAGUGCGGGGAGCAAACAGGAUUAGAUACCCUGGUAGUCCACACUGUAAACGAUGAAUGCUAGGUGUAGGGGGUAUCGACCCCUUCUGUGCCGCAGUCAACACAAUAAGCAUUCCGCCUGGGGAGUACGGCCGCAAGGUUGAAACUCAAAGGAAUUGACGGGG